UGAAACUGACAGUGCUAAAGGCCUGAACCUAGCCAGAACACAGAUUGGUACCUGAACCCAUGUGCCAGGACUUGAACCAGCCUAAACCCAGAUUGGGAUCUGAACCCACGGUUUUAAAUUAGAAUCACUCACCCAGUGUCUGGGCGAUUCACUGAGGUUCAGGUUCUUCAAGCCUCCGCACAGAAGGAAUUCCACAAAAGACAGUGAUAGGCAAGAAAUAGAUUUGUUAAGAUAGGACGCUUGUGAAAGAUGCAAGUGGGCAGGCAAGGAGGCUCUGCCCCCAGGACCUGGUGGGCUACAGUUUUAUCCUCCAAGAGGAGUGGGGGGUCAGAAAAGACCUCCUCUUCCUUUCUGGGAGUAGUAGCUCCUCCUUGGCAUCCGGUAAGGUGUGUAUUCAAAUCAUCAGAGGGGCGGUCCUCAAACUCCUUCCGUAGAUCUGAAUCUGAAUGCAGGCCUCAUCCCAUCCCCCACCCAAUGACGAGGCAAUUCUCGCACCUCCACUAGUCAAGCAAAUCUGCCUUGUGCUGAUGGCUUUUUUGAGCAAUUUAUUAAGUUACAGUGAUCUCCCAACACCCCCUAGAUUUCCCUCUCUAUCUAUGAUCCUCUAUUGGGACUUCUACAACUACCUGUGCCUCCUCCAUCCCUAUCACAGGUAUGCAUGUAUGUUUAUGUGUGCGUAAGUGUGCACAAAUGUGUGUGAUUGUUCACUGCAUGCCUGCAUAUGUGCAUGUGUGUAUGUGGCUGUGUGUUCAUGUGUGGCCGCACUGUAUGUAUGUGUAUGUGUAUAGGUGUGCAAUGCACACAUGCAUGUGUGUGCCUUCAGUGUGUGUGAUUGUGUGCAACGCAUGAGCGCAUGUGUGGUGUGCACUCCUGUGUGUGUGUACAUGCAUGCAUGCAUGUAUGUGUGUGUGUAUCUGCAUGUUGGGUAUAUUGCCUGGGGAGCAGCCAUUUGGAGUGGUGGAAGAGAGGGGUGUGGUGGGCCGGGGCGCUCAGCCACAGAAAAGAAAGUCGAUAACCAAAGAAUUUUGUUUGGAUUCUUACGGGGCAGGGAAAGAAAAGCACCCCUUACUGUGGACUCUACCUUCCUAAUUUAAAACAGAAACCAAAGGGUCCAGUUUCAUAGCCAGUGGGCUGGGCCAAGAUACGGUUUUCCCAGAAACUAAAGUUGUAAAGAAACAUAGAAUGAUCCUCCCCUGUCUUUCCGAGUCUCCAGGCCUGUGGUGUGGUGUGGCCUGUCAUUACCUCGCAAAGUCGACCCCGGUGGACAGUUCCUGGCCGCUCAGGCAAACAUCAGAUCCAGAAUGAGCCUCAAUGGCCGAUCAGCCUUAUUUGCUGUGUCUGCUUGUCCAGACCCCAUUUAAGAAUCUUAGGGGAAGAUAAAUUGUGAGAGAUCGUGGAAUUUUGAACAUGGACUGGGUAUUAGGUGAUUAGGGAAUUAUUGUUAAUUAAGUUAUGUAUGAUAGAGGAAAUGCAGAUGUGUGGAGAAUCUUUUUAUUUCUUCUCAGAGAUACAGGCCACAGUGUUAAGUUGAAGUGCCAUAUUAUUUAACUGUAAUUUAAUUUGCCCGCACCUUCAGCACAUAGAAGUUUCCAGUCUAGGGGCUGAAUUGGAGCUGCAGCUGCCAGCCUACACCACAGCCACAGUAAUGCGGGAUCUGAGCCGCAUCUGUGACCCACACCACAGCUCAUGGCAACGUUGGAUCCUUAACCCACAGAGUGAAGCCAGACAUUGAACCCACAUCCUCAUGGACACUAGUUGGGUUCUUAACCCUCUGAGCCACAAUGGGAACUCCUGUAAUUUACUUUAAAAUGGUUUAGUCAGAGGGAAUGAGAGAGAUAUUGAGAGAGAGAGGGAGAGUGCAAAUGUGAACAAUUGUUGACUCUGGAGAGUAGAUGUAUUUCUGUUCUUCUCUCUGCUUGGAUAUGUUCACAGUAAAAAAAUUUUAACGUUUUGGGGGAAAACCACUUAAAAAAUAAAUCUAACAUGUUGUGUGCGUGCGUGCGCACACAUACACAAAAGCCCUUUGGAGUUUCCUAAAGCAGAUCGCAAGAUGGGAGAAGCUUCUGCAUCUCCUGGCGCCAAUCUGACGUUGAGGCAGGUGGCAGAAGAGUCAGCUUCAGGAACUGGAUCGGGCCCAUGGGGCCAGCACAGGCAACCGGCACACCUCACUUCCUGAUCUCUUCUGCCUAAUCAUGUUCAAAGGGUCAGGUUGAAGUGAGCUAGGAUGCUUGUUGAACUUGAAAUUUAACACAGGCUAUGGUCUGUUCCAUAUGUCAAGGAACCAUCUUUCCUUAGACUACAGUAUUACUCUGCUACAGAAGUUUGCUCUCCCCCAGGAAGCUGGAUCCUAGAUGGAAUCCAAAGGAGGAGGUUGCCUUUGACCAGUCUUGACCUGUCCAACUACAAGCAGACGCUAGCAGAGAACUUUCUGUGGGCCAGGGAGGCAAGCAUCAUCGCGUUCAACCCCAACUCUAUGAGGUUGGUGCCAUUAUUGCCCCCAUUCUACAGAUAGGAAAACUGAGGCUCAGAGCAUUUACUUAAGUGAUGUCUCCUGCACAGGUGGCACUGGCAUUCACCUGUGAGAUCUGGUCUGUGGGACCUAGAACCAGCCCUCUUUCUGCCAAAAAUGGAUCACAGCUAUUAUGGCAGAAUCCAUGCAGGGUCUAUUGCUCAAUUGCCAUGGAAUACUUUUGUCAUUUCUAUUGGACUUUCCUCUAAUGCAGUUACCUUGAGAGCAGGAAUAGUAUCUUCGCCACAAAGCAGUCUGUGCCUUUGGGGUCGUAUCUGCUUUCUUUGGUGCCCCCCACCCCAAUACACACCCUGGGCACAGGAUAAGGAGUUAAGUCUCCAGCAAGUUUGAGAAACCCCUCUUUUAUAAAACACACUUCUCUCACAAAGGCAAAUGGUCUCCUUGUUCUUUUGUGACUCUUUCUCAUUUUAAGGCUUCCACCCAUGGUUAUUUCUUUUAAUCUGAUCUUGCUUAUAGAAGUGUUCCAAGGGCAUGCAUGUCUAAUGGAGUAACAGGCACUGAGCACAUAAAUGUGCUUCUUUGGGGGGGCCCCAACCCCCUCCCAACAGAAUGGCACAGGAACUCCCUUACAAUCUUGCUGGCUCCCACAUGCCCCAGAACAUAAUACAAGUGCAAUAAAUACAUUUUGAUUCAUCUCCCAGGACCUAGCUCGAUACUUUGCAUACUACAGUGGGCUUUCAAAAAAUAUUUGUUGAAGCAACGCAUAUUGGUUGAAAUGCCUGACGGUAGAAAGAAUCAUCAAGAUGAUGUCUCAGACGCCACCCGGGAGACGGCGUGAAAAUCUGAGACCAUCUGUCGGGCUUCUGGAAGGCCCAGGGAAAAAAAAAGCCAUCAAUUUUCCCGAAAUAGUACAAACAGGAUUUCCUGGAGGGAGCCAAGCCGGGGAGCAGCCUGCAUUUUGGAAAUGGAAAACGCAGCCUGGCUUUCAGUUUGGGGCUGACUGUGUUGAUUUCUGAUGGCCGCCGUGGAGGUUGUGUGUCCUGUGGUGCUCCUGGUCAUUCAGAGAUGACCUCUGGGUGGGUGGACACAGGGAAAAUGAUGGACAGCUCAUCCACCUAAAACAUCUGAAUAUCAGUACUGGUACAAUUGUCCUUUAUGGCAGGCAGCCCGAAGGGGAGCCAGGAUCUGCUUGCCUCUGUCUUGGUUCCUCCUCCCUAUCCAUGGCCACCUGCAGAAAUGAGGUUACAUAGCUGGGGUUCAAAUCAGGCUCCUCCAGCUACCAGAUAGGUGACCUCUGCUGAGGUACUCUUUCUGUGACUCAGUUUGGUCAUCUAUAUGAUGACAACUAGAGAUGCAUCUGCCUCAUAGGGCUCUUGAGGGAACGAAUGGAACUCAUAAAAAGAAGGCAGUUAAAAUAGUGCCCGCCAUACCCCGUGUUGGCUGAACAUUGGCUGUUUUUAUUUCCAUGGCCACCCUGCCUCCUCCCCCUCCCCCGGGUCACUCUGCCCCCACGGUUCUCGGUCCAGCUAUGACGUUGCCCUCCACCCGCUUGUCCACCCUGAAGUCUGGGAGUCUGCUAACCACCUGUAUCUAAGAGGCCAAUGUCUGGUUCCUGGGAGCUACAAUAACAAAUUAGCAUAGACUUGAUGGCCUGUAAACAGCAGAAAUUUCUUCCCUCCCAGGUCUUGAGGCCAGAAGUCCAAAAUCAAGGUGUCUGCAGGGCUACCCUUUUUCCAAAGAAGGUCACAUUCAUAGCUUCUUGGUGGACACAUCUUUUGGGGAGCCACCAUUCAACCUCCUAUAGCCAUCAACUUCCAUCUCUGGAAUGUCAUUGGAACCUCUCACCUCCUUUCCAUCCCAGUGGGCCCCAGUUCAGACCUGAUCAUCUCUGUCGGAGCCUCUCGGAACUCCCCACUGGCAUCCUGCCUCUAGUCUCUUUCCUUCCAAGCCAUCUUUCACAUUGGAAGCUGUGUUUACAAUGUGGCAGCCACAAGCCACAUGUGACAGUGAGCACUUGAAGUGUGUCUAGUUGGAAUGGAAUCAUGCUGUAAAGUACACAUUGGGUUUCAUAGACUUAGAAUAAAAAAAAAAAAAAGAAUGGAAAAUACCCAAUAGUAAUAUUUUCUAUAUCGAUCAUAUAUUGAAAGUGAUGAUGCUAUUUUGGAUACAUUGGGGUAAAUAAGAUAUAUUAUUAAAAUGAAUUUCACCUGUUUCGUUUUACCCCUUUUAAUGGGAUGCCUAGAAAAUUUAGAAUUACAAAAAUGGCUUAUCGUAUAUGUCUAUUGGACAGCAGUAGUCUGAAGUGUAUCACUCUCUGAUUGACUCUCCAUUUGUAUCAGUUAUCUAGACCUGUGUAAUAGGCCACUCCUAGAACUUAAUGGCUUAAAAGAAAUUUCUCAUGCUUUUUGGGGUUGGCUCAGAGAUUCCCUGUUGGUUUCAUUUGGGUUCACUCAAGUGCAUUCAGCUGGACAAUCUCCUGGGCUGGAAGGUCCAAGAUGGCCUCAUGCAUGGAUCUCCCAGGUAGCUGGCCCUGGCCUUGGGUCUCCAUCGCGUGGCCUCCCACCUUCCACUUGGCUAAAUUGGCUUCCUUGCAUGGCUGAGUUCCGAGAAGCCAGGAAGCUGCAAAGACUCUUAAGGCCUAGGCUCCAAUAUGGCGUCCCUUCUGUCCCAUCCUGUUGGUCAAAGCAAGUCACAUGUCCAGCCUAGAUUCAAGAGGGUGAAGAAGUAGACCCUCUGCAGGGGAGGAGGGACAAAGUCACAUUGCAAACAUUGCAAAGGGGCAUGCAUACUGGGAGGGAGAGAAUCCAUGGCCACUGAAUAAUUACUGCCUGGCCCUUGGUACCUCUCUCCGCAUGGGAUCCAGCCCAUGCUCCCUGCAUGCCACUCACCCUCUUUGUAAUCUAGACAAGAAUCCCUAGCUUGGGCCACCUUCAGCCAGCAUCUAUCCUGGCCUCUCUCUACCAGAACCUCAGAGGGUCAUCUGGUCAACUCUGCUCACUGAUAUUUGCUGAAUGUGAGAGCCAAUUGCUUUGAGAGGCUUGCUGGAGAACAAGGGUAGAAGUGUCUCUCUCCAUGGCUCCUGAACCCCCUCCACCCACCCGUCCAUGCAGAGUCCAAAGGGUCCAACGUCCUGUCCCCAUGAUUCAGGUACAUUCAUGGACGAUUAUCUUUGAAUUGCUUUACCCACACAAACGCACAACACGCCCUACGCAGGACAGCCCUGGCUCUUUCAGGGAGACACGGAAGAUGUUUGACAAAUGCCCACAUUUGCAAAGUUUCAGACAACAGUCCCUUCAACAUUUGCUCCAGAAUAAACACUGCAGUGGACUGGGUUUUCUCAGACUGAGCGAAGCUGAAGAGACUUUUCUGUUUGUUGCUUUUGAGUUGGCUGCGGGCUAUAAAGAAACACAAAGGGUCCAAAGUUCUUUCCCUGGGAUUGAGGCACAUUCGUGGGGCUUUUUCCCCUUCAGGUUGCUUUAUCAACAUGCCCCAGGCACAGUUCUUACUUUAUUUUCUCAGGUGUCAUGUAAACCCAUCAGACUUCUAAUAAGAAGGAAACUGGCAGCCUUGCCUUAUAAAAAAGCACCCCCAGCCCACCUUCACAUACAGGGCUUUUCAUAAGAGCAUGAAGGUUGUUGAUGCAGCAUCCAGACAGACCAGCCGGCGAAUACUUCCAACCUCAGGAUGC
RNAcentral lists this long non-coding RNA (6158 nucleotides) under Sus scrofa (pig). RNAcentral's name for it is "lncRNA (ENSSSCG00035045642.1, ENSSSCG00045039435.1)". The record is from RNAcentral. Lineage: Eukaryota; Metazoa; Chordata; Mammalia; Artiodactyla; Suidae.